Molecule: long non-coding RNA, 703 nt
Organism: Astyanax mexicanus (Mexican tetra)
Lineage: Eukaryota; Metazoa; Chordata; Actinopteri; Characiformes; Acestrorhamphidae
Exons: 3
Source: RefSeq, a predicted model, not a curated record
AGGUGGUUCCUAAGGUGUUGGUAUGGCGUCAGUGGUGGUUGGUAAGGUGUUGCUAGGUGGUUCCUAAGAUGUUCUUACGGUAUCCGUGGUGGUUGCUACGGCGUUGUUAGGUAGUUCCUACUGUGUUGGUAUGGUGUCUGUGGUGAUGGCCAAGGUGUUGCUAGGUGGUUCCUAAGGUGUAGGUAUGGUGUCUGUGGUGAUGGCCAAGGUGUUGCUAGGUGGUUCCUAAGGUGUAGUUAUGGUGUCUGUGGUGGUUCCUAAGGUGUUGGUAUGGUGUCUGUGGUGGUUACUAAAGUGUUGCUAGGUGGUUCCUAAGCUAAUGGUUUGGUGUCUGUGGUGGUUGCUAAGGUAUUGGUAUGGUGUCUGUGGUGGUUGCUAAGGUGUUGGUAUGGUGUCUGUGGUGGUUGCUGAAGUGUUGCUAGGUGGUUCCUAAAGUGUUGGUUUGGUGUCUGUGGUGGUUGCUAAGGUGUUGGUAUGGUGUCUGUGGUGGUUGCUGAAGUGUUGCUAGGUGGUUCCUAAAGUGUUGGUUUGGUGUCUGUGGUGGUUGCUAAGGUGUUGGUAUGGUAUCCGUGGUGGAGCUAUGGUGUUGCUAAGUGGUUGCUAGGUGGGAAAGGGGUUCUGUGCGUGGAUUCAGCUGGGUUGAGGGAUCUAAUGCAUUCCAAUGGGGAAAAUUAGUAUAUAUAAAAUAUAGCAUAUUUUCUGA